This is an RNA transcript of Mustela lutreola (European mink), 7780 nucleotides long. It is a transcript of the gene named histone H2B type 2-F-like, with no coding region annotated. The record is from RefSeq and is a predicted model, not a curated record. NCBI's taxonomy places the organism in Eukaryota, Metazoa, Chordata, Mammalia, Carnivora, Mustelidae. The transcript has 3 exons.
UAAAGGACGCAAUAGAACAGCUACUUGACCCAAACGGCUCUUUUCAGAGCCACUUAAUUUGUCACAGAAAGUGGCUGUAAACACCUGCUUGAAGAUUGGCUUUUGGUUAGGCAGGGUGGGCCUGUAAACUCGAGAACAUUUGGGUUUGGGGCUAGGUUGGGACCGUGGUAAAGAUUACCGGGGCUCUUAAAAUCUGGAGCCUGCGUGUGGUGGUGUCCCCUAGUGGCACGACUCUUACUGGUAAGGAAAAACUAGUUGCCAAAAUGGUCUCUACCUUGUUCUACGGAGUUCGCGAUGGAAGCUUAGAUACAGGCAUUUUCCUGCCCUUUCGGAAGAAAUGGUCUUCAAAGUCACAGCCAGACUCCAGAGCUGAUUCCCCAGAGAUCAAAAUUAUCUCCUGACCAAGAACCACAUUUGGAGAAUUUAUUUUUUCAAAAUGUGUAAACCAAUUAUUUUGAGUCUUUCUUAGACAUAUUCUGUCUCCAUUAACUCGCUCAUCGUGUUUGGGAAACUUCUCCUUUAACACAUGGUCCCUCUUCACAAUUUAUUUUCUUUUUAAAGAUUUUAAUUAUUUAUUUGUGAGAGAGAGAGAGAGAGAGAGAGAGAACACACGUGCACACAAGCCCAGGCAGGCAGAGGUGGAGGAAGAAACAGGCUUCCAGCUGAGCAAGGAGCCCAAUGUGGGACUCUAUCCCAGGACUCUGGGAUCAUAACCUAAGCCGAAGUCAGGUGCUUAACUGACUGAGCCACUCAGGCAUCCCUUCACAACUUAUUCUUAAGUGGAGGAGGUAAGGAGUAACAUGUACUUUAUGUGGUAUGGAGAUGAAAUGGGGAAGGCAGAAAGAUGAGCUUCUCACCCUCUAGGGAUUUGGACCCUACAAUUAGAAACAAACCUAGAAAUAAGGAAUAAAGUAAGGACAGCAAACAAUUUUAUUGGCUCCUAUUUGACUGCCAGUGUGCGUUCAAAGGAAGUCUAUACCUAAAAGACCUUUGGAGGUCCAGAUUUUCAACUGACUAGAAUUUUUUUUUUUAACAUCCUGUUUCCCAUUGCCAAGCUUAAUAGACAGUUCUCUUAGGGUCUUUCAGUUUUUAAAUUAUCCUAACAAUGAGAUUGGUAAUAAUCAUUUCUUAAGAUUUUAACAAUACUGUUUAUAAUAACUUACAAAAAAACCACCUUGGAACAAAUCUAAUGGAAAGAUGAACAAAACUUCUAGGGAGAAAAUCAUAACAUUUUUGAGAGAGAUUAGCAAGGAUAUAAAUAAAUGGAGAGUUAUACCAUGUUCAUGAAUUGGAAAGUCAGGUAUGUAUACAUAUGUAUGUAUAUGUAUGUAUACAAUGAUGUCCGUAUCCCUCCUUCACUCUCACUCCCCAAAUCUACAUAGUUAAUGCAAUCCCACUCCAAAUCCAGUAGUCUUCUCAGGAGAAUUUGACAUAGUUUAUUACUGGGUUUGUUUGAGGCCUUUCUUCUUUUCUGUUUUUCUAUUUCACUAGCUAUUCCUUGUCAACAUCCUCUGUUGCCAAUGCUUUUAUACAACCUUUAAAAUUUGGUGCAUCCCAGGGUUCAGCCUUAGAUCCUUUUCUGUUCUCUAUCUGUGCUUUCCGCUUACAUUGUCUCUUCUAAUCCCAUGGCUCUAAAUGCCAUAUAUAUAUAUAUAUAUAUAUAUAUAUGAUGAUUCUCAAAUUUUUUUUAAUAUUUUAUUUAUUUAUUUGACAGAGAGAGAUCACAAGCAGGCAGAGAGGCAGGCAGAGGGAGAGGAGGAAGCAGGCUCCCCGCUGAGCAGAGAGCCCAAUGCGGGACUCUAUCCCAGGACUCUGAGAUCAUGACCCGAGCCGAAGGCAGCAGCCCAACCCACUGAGCCACCCAGGCGCCCCUGAUUCUCAAAUUUUAUCUCUACUUCAAAGUUGUUCUCUGAACUCCACUGCUUUUUCAACAGUUAAACAGGAAUCUUGAUAUGUCCAAUACAAAACUUUUGCUUCUUGCUACUCCUCUCUCCUGUUACACCAACUUGCUCUUUCGUAGUUCCUGGUCCCAGUCAGUGGAAUGAGUUUAUUGCUCAGGCCCAAAUCUAGAAGUUGUUUCUGGUUCCCUUUUUCCCCACAUUCACUACAUCUAAUCAAAUCAGCACGUGUUCUGGGCACUUCUAAACACCUCCGCUGCUCCCUCUAAGUCCAAACUACCAUUGUCUGUCACCUGGAUUCCUAAUUGGUUUCCAUGCUUCCAUUGUUGUCCAACCCUUGCUGCCCAUGGGCUCUGUCUCCAACUGGCCUGGUGGCAGUGAGGACUGCUGGUCCCCUUCCAGCCAACUGCCAGCUAUGCCUCCAUUCCAUCUGGUUUUCAGGUCUGGCUAUCUUUGGCUUCUGGGGUGGAGGUGGGGUGAUUCCUAAAUCCAGAGGCUCUAGGGUUUCUCCCAACUGUGCGGUAGCCAGGAAAGACCUAGAAUAGACCCAACUCUUCCCACUUUACCCCAAACCAGUCCAUAUGCCCUGAGGUUUCCUUCUCAGGCUAGUAACACAAAUGGGCCUGAACUCCUUUAGAACCUGGAAUGAGUUUAGGGCUUUCCCUUUGGAGCCUGGAAGAUGAAAAACUGAACCACCCUUCUCAUAGCCAAUUGCCUGUUCUGCUGUGAUUGUCUCCUCUGGGAUGUUGUGCUUAGUUCUGCAAGCCCUAGAGAUUACAGAAUGUGCCCGAGCGCCGUGAUAGGUCCAGCAGGUUUUUGGGUAUUGUCCCUGAGGAGUCUCAAAGCUAUGAAAGAACAUCCUCCCUCCCUCCCUCCCUCAGCAUCUACCACCCUCCUCCCUGCCACCUGCACUAAUCCCUCCGGGGCCUUGUACUCAGUCCUGGAAGCUCUGAUCACCCGGGAUAGGACCGGCUUUGGGAGAAGCCACGUGAUAUCCGAAGGCAUUUCAGAGCGGCCCCUGAAGAGCCUACGGGCUCCCUGCCCACUGCCCAGCUGGUUCUGCAGGCCCGGGGCCCCUUCCUGGCUCUGAUGGUGGUGGAACCGGUAGGGAAGUCAUCUGUGUUUGAAUGAACUGCCGUCAUUCACUCCUAACCUGCUCCUUCCCCGCGGCCGUCUCCUCCAGCCACCUUUCCACUGGGUCUCCCGGCAGGUCAGCGCCCGUCCCCUUCCGUGGUCUCCCAGUCAUAGUCCUCCUCUCCGUGGGGUGGCGCCACCGCCGGGUCUGCGAGCAGGAGGGUCGGCCCCGGGCCGGCCUAGAGACGGAUUUUUCAGCUCCGUACUUCCGGGAGGCUGCCCGCGAACCCGCACUUUUUGGUUUCCCGCCGUACUUCCUGCGGCUGGAGACCGGGCGCAGUGGGGAAUCGGGCUGUCACAUUUGCCACCCCCGAACUGGUAACUACUUCGGAGUUUGGGAGGCCGCCCACGAAUUGGGUGCUUUUCUGGGUACUGGGACGAAUGGGACACGCACGACUGCUUACUCUCCUCUCCCCAUCGGCCGCCGCGGCCGCCGACACAUCCCAAAGGCCGUUUCUCGCAGCUGCAGGCUCUGGGGAAGAUGUCUCACCGGGUUUGGGGGAAGAUUGCGAAGAGCGGGAGGCGAGCUAAGGUGGCAGUGUGCACGGGUGGCCACAGGGUGGAGCCAGCGGCCCGCUGCGAGACUUUUUCGGCGCACAAGUUCUCCGGGCAGUGCCACAAACCGCCUAGGUCUUUUGAUCCAGGAACUGGUUGUAGCCAUUAAUUAAACAUAGAGCUUAAAAGAGUGUAUUCGUGACCGCGAAAAGCUGAAUGCAGUAGAAUCUACUAACCGUGCCAGUUAGGAACAGAGAAAUGGUUGAUGAGCAUAUUUGCAGCCAAGUAAAAAUGUGACCACGGAUUUACAGUACCAGUACUUUUUUUUUUUUUUUUUUGAAAAAUUAACGAAAAAUUCUUCUAAAUUGCUCAAGAAAGUUAAGAACACCAAUUUACUUCCUGUACAUUCCUUUUACUUGGAGGUGUAAUGUUGAUCUGUUAGAGGUAAAAGAAGUUUCAUCUCUCUUUUUGAAAUCAGGCAGAAUACGCAAGUGAGAAACACUGAAUCAUGGGUGAAUGAGUUGUCAAUUCCUUCCUUUCCUUUACUUGGAAUACUAAAAAUGCAGGGAGACUGCUCUUGGAAACCAGGUGAUAAUUCCUAGCAUGCUUUUCAUAGAUCUUAAAUACUCCAUGUUAGCAUUUAUGCUUUUUUACAGUAUUUCCAGCUUCUUGCCUUAUGCUUUCUUUAGGAUUUUACAUCCUCUUUGUGGUUGAAUGGAGUUAGAUUAACUAGGUCUGACCAGUAAGGUGGAAGUGGUGUGUGUCACUUCUGGGCUGGAGAAUUUAAUUCCUGGUUUGGGAUGCUCCAUGCUCUCUCAGCUCUGACACAACUGCUGGCAGUGUUCCCCAAAGUGCCACCUUAACAGCCUUCUCAUUUGCCUCUGGUGUAACAUGAAUGAAUGAUAAACCUCUGUUGGUUUAAGGUGCUGAGAUUAAGGAGUUGCUUGUUACCUUAACAAACCCUGGCCUCCUCUUACACAGCCUAAUUCAUAGAUGAAUGGGUCAGGUGUAGAGCAUGUUUGUUGCCUAGAUAAGAUGCGGUUAUUAAUAUUUCUUAACACUCUUUACCUUGUUCUCAGGACUCUCCCUCAAGAGCCAGGCUGUUUUUGUUGUGGUGGUGGUUGUGUUUUUUUGUUUUAAAUAAUAAUAAGACGCAAGGUCUUUAAACGAAAGUUGUCAUAAAUUCUGCUUUACCUGUCUUUACAAUAUACCAGGAUUCAGAACAUCUCAGCAUGGGCCAGAAUAUUUAUUUCUAAUUCCUAGCGUUGCCCUUAAUGCCCAUAAAUAUGAGACACAAAAACUACUACCUGUUUUGUCUCUGGUACACAGAAAUUUUUUUAUCCUCAGGGCAAUAAAUCAUGAUUAGUAUGAGUAAGAGGUAUGCCUUUCUUUUGCAGCCUGGGUGAAGGGUGAGUAGGUAGAAAAGCAAAACUGGGGGUGCCUGGGUGGUUCAGUGGGUUAAGCCUCUGCCUUCGGCUCAGGUCGUGAUCCUGGGGUCCUGGGAUCGAGCCCCGCCAUCAGGCUCUCUGUUUGGCAGGGAGCCUGCUUCCCUUCCUCCCUCUGCCUGCCUCUCGGCCUACUUGUGAUCUCUCUCUGUUAAAUAAAUAAAUAAAAUUUAAAAAAAAAAAAGAAAGAAAAGCAAAACUGGCUUAAAAAACAUUUACAGUGACUGUGUUCUUAGGCACAUAGUAUAGUGUUCUCUUUUAAAAAUAUGGACGUCUUUAGAAGUGUUAUUGGGACAAAUGGGUUUUAUAAGACUCCAAAGACUUUAUAAAUUUUGCAGUGGCGUACAAAGCACUCAGACUGAAUCCUGGGAGCAGAUGUUGGAUAGAGUUUGAGGCGCAAGAUGUUUUUUAAGGAUGAACCCCUAUAAAAGGAAGAGUGAAGAGGUAAGAGUGGGCAGUGGAAAAAUCAGAGUGCAACGAAAGCCUGCUAGAGCCUUGACCAUCCCGCUGAGGAGCUCUGGAGCAAAUACUGCUCACAAGCAUGGCCUGCUUUGGGCUGAAAUGUCCUGUUCCGUUCAGGCAAGACAUGCUGGGUACUCUGGGAAGGAUAUGACUUUGGAAGAGCUGUGGGGGGUCUCAGCAGAUAACAGUUUGCCUUCUGCUGGGUUUUGCAAUUCUUUCCCUUCUCUCCCUUUGGGCCACUUGCUCCCCACUUGGAUCCAGUCAUUUCUCUGUGUGUUUCCAGUACUGGAUGGAAUGAAAACAGUGAGCUCUUACCUAGGUAGGGACAAGUGUCAGGGACAGGGAACCCAACCACUGUAGGGAAACUGGAGGGCUGGGCACCCACCUGGACAAAAUAUGAGGUGGUGUACCAGGCCUUGACCAGACCGAGCACCAAGGCUGGGAGAACCAGCAGGUAGGCAUCAAUUUGCGGGACUCCCAACAACCUAUUCCUGUCACAGCUACAUGCCAGAAGUAACGGUAGACUGAAGUGCAAAUUGUUCAAAUGUUAGAGUAGGCAGUUAGGUUCUAACAGGAUACCUGGAGGCCAGCAAAGAGGAAGUCAUGGCUAGGAUUGUGAAUGUCAGAGGCCUGUCCCCACAGAGCCCGAUGAGGGGCUCGAUUUGAGGACCCUGAGAUCACGACCUGAGCUGAAAUUAACCAUCUGAGCCCUGAGACCAGUAUUAUCUUGAAGUUAGUUAGUAAUCAUCCAGAAAAUCAGAAGGGCAGAGUAAAUCUCUGGAGGUAAGAGCUGGUGCUUCAUGACAUCACUACCCCUCUCCAGCUGAAGCCCCUUGCCCCUCUCCCUGCUAGGAGGUCUGGGUAUAAUUUAUUAAGAAAGCCUCGGUUACAUGGUCUUCCUGUGGGGUGGGGGAGUGGGACAGGCAAGCAGGACUCCUGGUAUCUCUGGACACAGAGAUGUUAUGAGAAAGUCUCAUAGGAAAGGGCAGAAGUCAUACCCCCAUCUGCCCUAGUCAGCAUCUGCUGUGUUCUCUGCAAGCUGUGUGGAUCUUCCCCGGCUUGUGUGCUGGAGAGAGAAGACACCAGAUAACCACGUGGACUCCAGGAAUGGGUGAGUGCUCCACCCAUAGUCUCUGAGGAGCCGAAGGAAAGGAGCAAGUUUCCUUUCCUUCUUUUGGGUCUGCGUGCUUUUCUCGUCUCCCUGAUCCAUUCUCUCUUUAUCUGCCUCCUUGUAACUCUCAGUCUGUCUCUUUCUCUGUCUUAAUCUCUUGUACAUAGGCACACACUUACCUUUUCACCCUGUCCCUAAAAAUAAUAAUAUUGUUCAAGCUACCUAGUAGGAUAAUCAGGUUAGACUGGACUUCCAAGUUUUUAAAGAUUUCUUUAAAGUAGGUCCCACUUCAAAUCAUCCCUGAUGACCCAUUUUCCAAGUUUAUCUCCACUUAAGUCAGCUCAUUGUUUAUUUUAUUUCAGAGUUAAUCAGAUGUCAUGAGAGUCACAGUUUUGAUGUCUUUAAACUUUGGAAUGGUUGCACCCCAGUGCUUGCACAGAGAAGAAGGGGAGGGACUGUCUGGGUCCGUGGGCACCGGCUGGGCCACUGCUACGGCCCUCCUUCCAGGGGCUUCUGGUAUGUCCUUUCUUGCAGUGCUCUUGUUCAUGACAUUAUGGCUCUUCUAAAUACCUCUCUUCUUGAAGGCAGGAAUUUACUCUUUUCUUUUGACCGGAGUCCAAAGAGACUUCUAAAUUGUACUUUUUCUUUCUUUCCAGUUCCUUACAUAUAAUCACACAGAAAAUGGUGUCCACCAAAAACAGUAUUCCCACUGCCAGAUAGAAAAGAACGUGAAACCAAACAGGAGGUUGUGUCUGGAGACCUGAAAAAGUGACAAGGGGAAGAAAUGCUAGUUAGAAUGCAAAGUGAUCUGGCUGAGUUAUGUCUGGGAAGGAAGCCUGGCUGACACCUGGUAUGCCGGUCCCCAGCAGAGACACAGCUGACUGGCCUGAGAGCCUCCCACUGGCCUUGAAGAAGUGAGCUACUCUGCUGGGAGGGGCCAAAUGGCAGGGGCCUGCCUCCAGGAGUCAAGACUGGCCUCCAGCUCACAGCCAGCAAAAAGUCUAGGACCUCAGGCCAACUACAUAAGGAAGUGAAUUCUCAAGUCUACCAAUGACCACGUGCGCUUGGAAGAACUAUAGGAAGGAAGCUGUCAUACCCUGAUUGCGCCCCCUUCGGAGCACCCGGUGAAGCUGUGCAGAGACUCCUGACUCAUGGAAAGACAACAAAUGUUGUUUUAAGCUGUUGUGUUUGUGAUAAUUUGUUACACAGCAAUAGAAGAAAUGAAUACACUCCAA